GGGCCAUACAGCUCAGUGGUGGAGCAUCUGUUCUACAUGUGGAAGGUUCCAGGUUCAAUUCCUGGCAUCUCCA
This is a non-coding RNA of Podarcis lilfordi (Lilford's wall lizard), 73 nucleotides long. Lineage: Eukaryota; Metazoa; Chordata; Lepidosauria; Squamata; Lacertidae. The record is from the annotation of a GenBank genome assembly.